Molecule: non-coding RNA, 309 nt
Organism: Pelobates cultripes (western spadefoot toad)
Lineage: Eukaryota; Metazoa; Chordata; Amphibia; Anura; Pelobatidae
Source: the annotation of a GenBank genome assembly
CAACAACUUGACCUCACACAGAGGAAGGUCAUGGACCUAGAGGACCGCUCAAGACGGCAAAACCUCAGGAUCAGAGGCAUCCCUGAGGAGGUGAAGCAGCAGGACCUACACGAAUACCUAAUGGGGUACUUUAAGGCACUAGCAUCAGACAUACCAGCUGAAAUUCUGCUGCUGAAUAGACACCACAGGGUGCAAAAGCCGGUGUUCCUACCACAAGAUACCCCCAGGGAUGUACUAACACACUUACAGUACUUCCACGCUAAGGAAGCACUACUCCGAAGCCACAAGAACAGGCAGAGAGCUGCCACA